CGUGCCCAAUCGUGGGGGAUAACGCAGCGAAAGCUGUGCUAAUACCGCAUACGAUCUACGGAUGAAAGCAGGGGACCGUAAGGCCUUGCGCGAAUGGAGCGGCCGAUGGCAGACUAGGUAGUUGGUGAGGUAAAGGCUCACCAAGCCUUCGAUCUGUAGCUGGUCUGAGAGGACGACCAGCCACACUGGGACUGAGACACGGCCCAGACUCCUACGGGAGGCAGCAGUGGGGAAUUUUGGACAAUGGGCGAAAGCCUGAUCCAGCAAUGCCGC
This 273-nucleotide ribosomal RNA is filed under the name uncultured Variovorax sp. RNAcentral describes it as "partial 16S ribosomal RNA". It matches the Rfam family "Bacterial small subunit ribosomal RNA", at positions 125 to 400 of the family's 1533-position model. Lineage: Bacteria; Pseudomonadati; Pseudomonadota; Betaproteobacteria; Burkholderiales; Comamonadaceae. The record is from RNAcentral.